RNAcentral lists this ribosomal RNA (253 nucleotides) under uncultured bacterium. RNAcentral's name for it is "partial 16S ribosomal RNA". It matches the Rfam family "Bacterial small subunit ribosomal RNA", at positions 524 to 776 of the family's 1533-position model. The record is from RNAcentral.
UACGUAGGGUGCGAGCGUUAAUCGGAAUUACUGGGCGUAAAGCGCACGUAGGCGGCUUUGCAAGUUAGAGGUGAAAGCCCGGGGCUUAACCCCGGAAUUGCCUUUAAAACUGCAUCGCUAGAAUUGUGGAGAGGUGAGUGGAAUUCCGAGUGUAGAGGUGAAAUUCGUAGAUAUUCGGAAGAACACCAGUGGCGAAGGCGACUCACUGGACACAUAUUGACGCUGAGGUGCGAAAGCGUGGGGAGCAAACAGG